GCGGACGUGCCGGAGUGGCCAAACGGGCUGGCUUCAGGUGCCAGUGGCUUAGUGCCUACGCAGGUUCGAAUCCUGCCGUCCGCA
This 84-nucleotide transfer RNA is filed under the name Candidatus Woesearchaeota archaeon. Its description in RNAcentral is "tRNA-Leu". It matches the Rfam family "tRNA". Rfam says of the family: Transfer RNA (tRNA) molecules are approximately 80 nucleotides in length. The record is from RNAcentral. Lineage: Archaea; Nanobdellati; Candidatus Woesearchaeota.